RNAcentral lists this ribosomal RNA (253 nucleotides) under uncultured bacterium. Its description in RNAcentral is "partial 16S ribosomal RNA". It matches the Rfam family "Bacterial small subunit ribosomal RNA", at positions 524 to 776 of the family's 1533-position model. The record is from RNAcentral.
UACGUAGGUGGCAAGCGUUGUCCGGAUUUACUGGGCGUAAAGGAUGCGUAGGCGGACAUUUAAGUCAGAUGUGAAAUACCCGAGCUUAACUUGGGUGCUGCAUUUGAAACUGGGUGUCUAGAGUGCAGGAGAGGUAAGUGGAAUUCCUAGUGUAGCGGUGAAAUGCGUAGAUAUUAGGAGGAACACCAGUGGCGAAGGCGACUUUCUGGACUGUAACUGACACUGAGGCACGAAAGCGUGGGGAGCAAACAGG